CUGGAUCCUUAACGCACUGAGCAAGGCCAGGGAUCAAACCCUCAACCUCAUGGUUCCUAGUCGGAUUCAAGUUUCCAGUGCGCCACAACAGGAACUCCUAUUUUUUUUUUUAUUUCAAAAACAAACAUGCACUUGGACAUAUAUCUCUAAAUAAAUGAGAUCAAAUCAUUUCUAUUGCUUUAUUAAAAAAAAAGGAUUGUAGAGAUUCUGAGAAGCAGGGUGGAGGAGUCUGGGAUUGAAUAUGGCAGUAGGGACUGGUCUUGGAGAAGAAUAGCAGAUCAUGAAGGGUGUAAAGCAGCCAGGGCUGGACUCCAGUGAGAAUGGUGGAGAUAGAAAGUAAAGGAACAAAUGUGACGCACUGCAAACCAGGAAGUUUGGACUUGGUAACCAAUUAAAUACAGGGAUUACAGUAGGAGGGAGUAAAAGAUAAUGACCAUUCUAAAUUGGUCAGCUUAAAAUAGCAAUGGCGACUGCAGGCAGCUUAGGGGGGAAGGAAAUUUGCUUUGUGGAAAGGUAAUGAAUUUAGUUUUAGUUAUUUUUUAUUUUUAGGCAUCAGCCUUUUUAUCUUGUGAUAAACGGCUUGAAAUAUCCUGUGGCUUGAAUGGAACAGCAGGAAUAGAUACUUAGAAUAUGAGAAUCAUGACGUCUGAAACCUGAAAUAGAAUUCAGAGAGAUGAUUAGAAAGCUGAAGAUGUAUUCUUCAGGGAAGGAGGGAAGACACACAGUAGGAACCUUGGACAAGGAAGGGGUGACAACAAAGAUUGAAAAGAAGGAAUGGGAGUUCCCGUUCUCAUGGCAACACCAGAUCCCCCACCCACUGAGCAAGGCCAGGGGUUGAACCCACAUCCUCAUGGAUACUAGUUGGAUUCAUUUCCCCUGUGCCACAUUGGGAAUUCCCAACAUAGGUAUUUUUAGAAGAGUCUUACCCAUGACUCCAUUCUGCUACAGAAACCCUAGGGGCAGCUCAGACACAGUUUUAUGCGGAUUGUCUUCAAAUAUAUACAGUAGGUUGCGAAAGUUAAAUAAGAUGGGGUGAAUUUUCCCACAGAGUUUUGACAGACUGUUUUUCCUCCCCCAAACAAAUAUUUGGCCUUGUCACCAUGAGUACGAAGCAUCUAGGAUGCAGAGGUGUCAGCCACUUGCUUUCAAGACUUCAGUCAAGUCAAGCUAUAGGGUGGGAAUUAGAAUUCAGUUCCCCAGAUUGGUCAGUUUUUUUUUUUUUUUUCCCUAUAGCCCAUUGAGAGAAUAAGGAUUAAUCUUCAACUCUCUGUAUCCUCUAUCUUAUCUCUUGGACCUACAUUCGGAUGAAGACUUGUUCAU
This 1320-nucleotide long non-coding RNA is filed under the name Sus scrofa (pig). RNAcentral describes it as "lncRNA (ENSSSCG00015032754.1)". Lineage: Eukaryota; Metazoa; Chordata; Mammalia; Artiodactyla; Suidae. The record is from RNAcentral.